AGUUGCUCAUUCACCUUUUUAUGAUAGUCCCGCGUUUAAGCGGAAUAUGCACUUCAUAAACCAUCGAAUGAUGCCUAAGAAUGGUGCCUAUCGUCCACCGAAACCGAUAAUUGCUGCGUAAGCGCUUUAUCAAGCAUCGGACGACACGUUGAGUGAGGCACCGCCUA
Non-coding RNA from Yersinia ruckeri, 167 nucleotides. The record is from Rfam. Lineage: Bacteria; Pseudomonadati; Pseudomonadota; Gammaproteobacteria; Enterobacterales; Yersiniaceae.